UUGAACGCUGGCGGCAUGCCUUACACAUGCAAGUCGCACGGCAGCGCGGACUUCGGUCUGGCGGCGAGUGGCGAACGGGUGAGUAAUACAUCGGAACGUACCCUGUUGUGGGGGAUAACUAGUCGAAAGAUUAGCUAAUACCGCAUACGACCUGAGGGUGAAAGUGGGGGACCGCAAGGCCUCACGCAGCAGGAGCGGCCGAUGUCUGAUUAGCUAGUUGGUGGGGUAAAGGCCCACCAAGGCGACGAUCAGUAGCUAGUCUGAGAGGACGAUCAGCCACACUGGGACUGAGCCACGGCCCAGACUCCUACGGGAGGCAGCAGUGGGGAAUUUUGGACAAUGGUGGCAACCCUUAUCCAGCAAUGCCGCGUGUGUGAAGAAGGCCUUCGGGUUGUAAAGCACUUUUGUCCGGAAAGAAAUCGCGCUGGUUAAUACCUGGCGUGGAUGACGGUACCGGAAGAAUAAGCACCGGCUAACUACGUG
Molecule: ribosomal RNA, 483 nt
Filed under: uncultured bacterium
Lineage: Bacteria
Description: partial 16S ribosomal RNA
Rfam family: Bacterial small subunit ribosomal RNA
Source: RNAcentral